CGUGUAGGCGGAUACGCAAGUCGGUUGUGAAAUCCCUGGGCUCAACCUAGGAACUGCAUCCGAAACUGUGUGUUUUGAGUAAUGGAGAGGGUGGCGGAAUUCCCGGUGUAGAGGUGAAAUUCGUAGAUAUCGGGAGGAACAUCUGUGGCGAAGGCGGCCACCUGGACAUUUACUGACGCUGAGACGCGAAAGCGUGGGGAGCAAACA
Molecule: ribosomal RNA, 207 nt
Filed under: uncultured bacterium
Lineage: Bacteria
Description: partial 16S ribosomal RNA
Rfam family: Bacterial small subunit ribosomal RNA
Source: RNAcentral